CGAUGAACCACAUUUCGGUGGGGAUUAGUGGCGAACGGGUGAGUAACACGUGGGCAAUCUGCCCUGCACUCUGGGACAAGCCCUGGAAACGGGGUCUAAUACCGGAUAACAGCUUCCAUCGCAUGGUGGGGGUUUGAAAGCUCCGGCGGUGCAGGAUGAGCCCGCGGCCUAUCAGCUUGUUGGUGAGGUAGUGGCUCACCAAGGCGACGACGGGUAGCCGGCCUGAGAGGGCGACCGGCCACACUGGGACUGAGACACGGCCCAGACUCCUACGGGAGGCAGCAGUGGGGAAUAUUGCACAAUGGGCGCAAGCCUGAUGCAGCGACGCCGCGUGAGGGAUGACGGCCUUCGGGUUGUAAACCUCUUUCAGCAGGGAAGAAGCGAGAGUGACGGUACCUGCAGAAGAAGCGCCGGCUAACUACGUGCCAGCAGCCGCGGUAAUACGUAGGGCGCAAGCGUUGUCCGGAAUUAUUGGGCGUAAAGAGCUCGUAGGCGGCUUGUCGCGUCGGUUGUGAAAGCCCGGGGCUUAACCCCGGGUCUGCAGUCGAUACGGGCAGGCUAGAGUUCGGUAGGGGAGAUCGGAAUUCCUGGUGUAGCGGUGAAAUGCGCAGAUAUCAGGAGGAACACCGGUGGCGAAGGCGGAUCUCUGGGCCGAUACUGACGCUGAGGAGCGAAAGCGUGGGGAGCGAACAGGAUUAGAUACCCUGGUAGUCCACGCCGUAAACGGUGGGCACUAGGUGUGGGCAACAUUCCACGUUGUCCGUGCCGCAGCUAACGCAUUAAGUGCCCCGCCUGGGGAGUACGGCC
This 807-nucleotide ribosomal RNA is filed under the name Streptomyces sp. Its description in RNAcentral is "bacterial SSU rRNA". It matches the Rfam family "Bacterial small subunit ribosomal RNA", at positions 67 to 887 of the family's 1533-position model. Lineage: Bacteria; Bacillati; Actinomycetota; Actinomycetes; Kitasatosporales; Streptomycetaceae. The record is from RNAcentral.